GUACAGCAAGACUAUCUCAUGAGAUUGGACUUCCUCCUGGUGUGUUGAAUAUAGUAUUUGACUUUGGUUCAACUGCAGGUGCUUUAUGUGAAGAUGACGACAUAGACUGUUGACCUGCAUAAUUCUUUACAAGACAGAAUCAUCAGAACACAAAGUGGCAAACCACUCAAAACAUAUAGCAGGUCAUGACGGAAAAUCCAAAAUGCUCAUUUUACUAACGGUUUCCACUUGCACUUUCUUUCUGAAACGCAUCACACAUAAUGAGAUUAUAGAUAAAUUCACACUAAUUUUGUUUCCGACUCAUCUAAAUUGCAUUUUAUAGUUUAAUUUGAUCUUCUAAGCACCUAACAGAAUUGUUAACAGAGGUCAUGAUAGUUAACUGGGUUAACAGAUUCAUUAGCAGAACAAAAAAAAGAGUUCACAACAUUUUCAUUGAUAACCAACAACCAACAAGUUCAGGUGUAACUAACUCAAAAGUCCAACUGGCAUAACUAACAAAUUAACUUCUAACCGAUUUCCUAAUUUCAAGCCCAUUUAAGUUGAAUUUCAAUGACAUUUGGGAAGAGUUUAUAAUAGAAUUCAGAAGAGAGAAAUCUAUAAAUAACCAAGCAUCACAUUCAUUCAGAUUUUUUCAUUUCAAAGCAUCACAUUCAUUCAGUUUUUUCAUUCAGAUUUUUCAUUUCAAAGCAUCACAUUCAUUCAGGUUUUCCAUUCAUAUUUUUCACAUUUCAAAGCAUCACAUUCAGGAAUUCGAAUUCAACAAAAUUCAUCAAAUUCUCAUAUUCAACAGAAUCGAGCACCAGAAUAACAACAACACAAGACAAUCGCAUCGAGUUUACAGAGAAGAAGAUAAAGUGAAGUAGAAGAGCAGAGGAAGCAAGGAAUUCAUUACCUGGUGAUCUUCCGGAGAUUCACUGCAUCGGAGUUCAAAAGCGGUGAGUUCUCUUCUUUAUUAAAUCGUAGUUUGCGAGUCGAUUCCCCUUGAUACACCAUUUGAGA
This 999-nucleotide long non-coding RNA is filed under the name Lathyrus oleraceus (garden pea). RNAcentral's name for it is "Pisum sativum (pea) long non-coding RNA (PSAT_LNC030270)". Lineage: Eukaryota; Viridiplantae; Streptophyta; Magnoliopsida; Fabales; Fabaceae. The record is from RNAcentral.